GUCCAGACUCCUACGGGAGGCAGCAGUGGGGAAUAUUGCACAAUGGGGGAAACCCUGAUGCAGCGACGCCGCGUGUGGGAAGACGGUCCUCUGGAUUGUAAACCACUGUCCCCAGGGACGAAGAUGACGGUACCUGGGGAGGAAGCUCCGGCUAACUACGUGCCAGCAGCCGCGGUAAUACGGAGGAUGCGAGCGUUAUCCGGAUUUAUUGGGUUUAAAGGGUGCGUAGGCGGGCUUUUAAGUCAGCGGUAAAAAUUCGGGGCUCAAUCCCGUCCGGCCGUUGAAACUGGGGGCCUUGAGUGGGCGAGAAGAAGGCGGAAUGCGUGGUGUAGCGGUGAAAUGCAUAGAUAUCACGCAGAACCCCGAUUGCGAAGGCAGCCUUCCGGCGCCCUACUGACGCUGAGGCACGAAAGUGCGGGGAUCGAACAGGAUUAGAUACCCGCGUA
This 446-nucleotide ribosomal RNA is filed under the name uncultured bacterium. RNAcentral describes it as "partial 16S ribosomal RNA". It matches the Rfam family "Bacterial small subunit ribosomal RNA", at positions 329 to 792 of the family's 1533-position model. The record is from RNAcentral.